AAAGCAGGCUGCAAUUACAGUGCUUCAUUCUGUGGGAGUACUGCCAUUUCCCUGCUGAGAGUAACUCUGCUAAUGCUGUCUUUGGUUUCAUCUAUACGGUGCUGAAACCAUUUGUUCUUAGCAUUUACAAGU
This 132-nucleotide small nucleolar RNA is filed under the name Calidris pygmaea (Spoon-billed sandpiper). RNAcentral's name for it is "Small nucleolar RNA SNORA69 (ENSCPGG00000010860.1)". It matches the Rfam family "Small nucleolar RNA SNORA69". Rfam says of the family: U69 is a member of the H/ACA class of small nucleolar RNAs (snoRNAs) which act as guides in the the modification of uridines to pseudouridines. Lineage: Eukaryota; Metazoa; Chordata; Aves; Charadriiformes; Scolopacidae. The record is from Rfam by way of RNAcentral.